This 465-nucleotide ribosomal RNA is filed under the name Vreelandella stevensii. RNAcentral's name for it is "partial 16S ribosomal RNA". It matches the Rfam family "Bacterial small subunit ribosomal RNA", at positions 338 to 795 of the family's 1533-position model. The record is from RNAcentral. Lineage: Bacteria; Pseudomonadati; Pseudomonadota; Gammaproteobacteria; Oceanospirillales; Halomonadaceae.
CCUACGGGUGGCAGCAGUGGGGAAUAUUGGACAAUGGGGGGAACCCUGAUCCAGCCAUGCCGCGUGUGUGAAGAAGGCCCUCGGGUUGUAAAGCACUUUCAGUGAGGAAGAACGCCUGGUGGUUAAUACCCAUCAGGAAAGACAUCACUCACAGAAGAAGCACCGGCUAACUCCGUGCCAGCAGCCGCGGUAAUACGGAGGGUGCGAGCGUUAAUCGGAAUUACUGGGCGUAAAGCGCGCGUAGGUGGCUUGAUAAGCCGGUUGUGAAAGCCCCGGGCUCAACCUGGGAACGGCAUCCGGAACUGUCAAGCUAGAGUGAAGGAGAGGAAGGUAGAAUUCCCGGUGUAGCGGUGAAAUGCGUAGAGAUCGGGAGGAAUACCAGUGGCGAAGGCGGCCUUCUGGACUGACACUGACACUGAGGUGCGAAAGCGUGGGUAGCAAACAGGAUUAGAUACCCUAGUAGUC